Long non-coding RNA from Helianthus annuus (common sunflower), 2652 nucleotides. RefSeq lists it as uncharacterized. The transcript has 10 exons. The record is from RefSeq and is a predicted model, not a curated record. NCBI's taxonomy places the organism in Eukaryota, Viridiplantae, Streptophyta, Magnoliopsida, Asterales, Asteraceae.
AUCACUCGCUUUCUAAACCCUAAUUCAUUUCAUCCAGCCGCUACCCCUUCUUUCUCUCUCUGGUGAUUUUCAAUUUAGGGUUUCUUGCCUCCAGUGGUAUGAGCCAGAUCUCAUCGGAUCCAACAAUGGUGGUCAAGGCAAGUUCCAACAAUCCGAGAUCUAGGGUUUUAAUUUCAUGUCUGAGAUUUCAUGAUUCCACUUGGCUGAGGUAUCUUCUCUGGCGGCGGCAGUGAAUGUGACAAGGGUGUACGGGAGUUACGUGUUUGGAGACUCGAUGAAAAUGGGUGGCACCGGCAUCAACAGCAGGCGGCGGCUAGGGUUCUGACCAUGACCACCUGAUUAUCUACUAACAAAUAUUGGGAAUGUUCCUUUUAUUCAAGUUUUGGAGCUCAUUUUACAUUUGGGUACCGGUCUCGAAGAUUAUUCCAGGAUUUUGUUACGGAUCUUAUCUGGUAUGUUUGUGCAUCAUUCAUUGACCCAUUGUUUGUUGGCCCAGUUUUCGCUGAUACCAAAGCUGGUGAUGAUAUGUGUUGGGUUGAGCGACAGACAUGGAGGACGUAAAAAAGCUAGAAAAUUUCUUGGGGUGGGUAAAACCCUAACAACGUCGACGAAGCUGAACGGAAAAACCCUAAUAAGGUUUUGACUUUGGUGAAAAAGGUAUAAUAUAAUUCUACAGAGGCGAUGAUUAGUAGUGUUUUGGAGUUGUGGUUUCUAAGAAAGAGAAUAGAAAGGUGAGAGGGCGAUCAAUAGACAUAUUUGGUUUCAGAUAGACCAGUAGAGCAGAGCAUUCGAUAAAUGGUAUAGUUGGGUGAAUGGAUUUAGGGGAGUGGGCCCUCAACUGCAGGGUGGAAGUGUCCAUACAUAAGGGUAUUGUAAUCUCGAAACAAAUGUUGGUUAUGUAAGGUUAUCUAAAUUAUACAGCAGGAAUUACAAGAAUGCUAAACGGGCAGCGGUGCUGGGUCGAUUAAGGCACACGUUGUAUGUUCUGGUGACCCUUGAUACAUACAUCCGGUUGUAGGUCAAGUUAUGGAUAAAUAUAUGAUUGAUAGUGAUGUUUCUGGAGAAAUAGGCGUUUUUCGGCGAAGGGUGUGAUCAGCAAGUUCAAAGUAACUAUGGUGAUGGUUUCGGGUGAUCAGCCAACAUCUCGGUCAAAAUAGAUUAAACUCGGGUCAACAAACGGUCAUCGGAAAGAUUUCACCUAUACGCGGACGACAUGACUCGCCAAGUGGAAGCGCAUCACUACUGCGGCCAUCUGAACAAAGACAUGCGGCAAUCUCUGAUCUACGACCGGCCCGAUGCCGAUGCGCGGUUGAUCAGGCUGGAACUCUUCCGGACACCGAAAAACCGAUGUGGCAUAGCCAUGAGUACGAGGUGAAGAGCGGCGUGCUCUUCCUUCCCGGUGUUCCCGGUCCGGUUGAACGAAAAGAUCUCGAGAAAGUGGCAAAACACGGGAAGACCAUACACUUUUGGCAGGUGGAUAGAGAUGAUGAACUAUCGCUCGGGUUACCGCAGGUGACGAUGGCGCUAACGCGAGACAGCAACUCUACCUGACGCGCUUUUGACAACAUAGUUUUGUUUAUUACAUCAAACUUAAAGUGGUUGAACACUUGAAUAAUCUUUUUUAUAUAAUUUGUGUGCAGUAGGCUACCAUAUGCCUAAAGGGAGAAACAGUCUUUGUUAAUAAAGGGAGUUGGUGAACUUUUCAAAAUUCAGUUCAAGUUUAUCACUGGCACAAGGAAGGUUGGUCAUGUUUCUAAUUUAUUUUUCCUUUUCCUUUUGUUUUGUAAUUGUUAUUACUUGUUAAACUAAAAAUUGUGACUCACAUGUUACAGUUUGAAUUGAACAUAGGUAAAGAGGAUCAUUUUAGUGAUAGGCCAUAAAUCACCAACUCAUUGCAUAAACUCUUCUUUUAUGUGUCAUAAGGGAUUGUUGUUGUGUCAUUGGGUGCUGAUUCAAAUGACCACCUUUGUACACCGGUGGAUGAUAUGGUUGAUGGUGGCAAAUCCGUAAAUAACGAGGCGCUAGGAACAAAGAUUGAUGCACAAACUUGCAACCCAACACCAUUGCUCACACCAUUCACGUCUACUGUCGAUCGAGCUCUGUUUUUGUCGAUUUGGUGAUUCGGGCCCUAUAUGAAAUCCUAGCAAAAUGCAUGGCAGCCAAAGGCCGUUUUUACGUUAUCAACACUUGGUAUUGCGCUGUAGCGAUCGACGUUAAAUUUGGUCCCUAUUUGUUGCGUACAUUGUUAGGAAUGAUACCCGAGAUUUUCGUCGCAAUAUACACGGGUAUAAUGAUCCAAACAUUGGCGGAUGCCUAAAACGAUCAUCAGUCACUUUCGGCACCAUAGAUUAUCUGUACGGUUUUCGGGUUUCUUUUGACCAUUGCGACCACCGUGGUGGUCACCGUUUAUGCCAAAAGGCGGUUGAGUGAGUUGCAGAAAGAUGAUGAACAGCUACUGCUGCCAAAAGAUUUUGAAGAAACUAUGUGGAGGAACUAUCAAAACAAAGAAUGUUUUUCAUUGAUUUUUAGUACAUAAAUGAAAGAAAGAUUUGACUGCAUCUUUGUUUUGCUUGUUUUAUUCCGCUUAUACCCUCAAUAAGUUGUAUAUAACCGACAUACGUACUCUAUAAACGAUCCUUCCUUUCGGUUUCA